CGGGUGUGGUUUAGUGGUAAAAUAUUAGCUUCCCAAGCUGAAGUCGCGAGUUCGAUUCUCGUCACCC
This 67-nucleotide transfer RNA is filed under the name Schleiferilactobacillus harbinensis. It matches the Rfam family "tRNA". From Rfam's summary of the family: Transfer RNA (tRNA) molecules are approximately 80 nucleotides in length. Their secondary structure includes four short double-helical elements and three loops (D, anti-codon, and T loops). Further hydrogen bonds mediate the characteristic L-shaped molecular structure. tRNAs have two regions of fundamental functional importance: the anti-codon, which is responsible for specific mRNA codon recognition, and the 3' end, to which the tRNAs corresponding amino acid is attached (by aminoacyl-tRNA synthetases). tRNAs cope with the degeneracy of the genetic code in two manners: having more than one tRNA (with a specific anti-codon) for a particular amino acid; and 'wobble' base-pairing, i.e. permitting non-standard base-pairing at the 3rd anti-codon position. Lineage: Bacteria; Bacillati; Bacillota; Bacilli; Lactobacillales; Lactobacillaceae. The record is from RNAcentral.